RNAcentral lists this long non-coding RNA (3504 nucleotides) under Sus scrofa (pig). RNAcentral's name for it is "lncRNA (ENSSSCG00000061604.1)". Lineage: Eukaryota; Metazoa; Chordata; Mammalia; Artiodactyla; Suidae. The record is from RNAcentral.
UUUUUUUUUUUUUUUUUUUCCAUACCUCUAGGAACUCUGACAGUCACCCAAUAUUACCACGAUGGUGUAUAAGCCAGCAUCCAAUUCUGCUGGCUGGUGCCCAUGCCACAUGGGCUGCUAAAAUUUUUAGAUAAGAUUCCUUAAUAUUCUUAUCUCCUUGUAUCCCAAGUAUCUGCGGAGGCUCUCUGCCCUUUGAAAUGCAAAGUAAAUGGAUUCAAAUGCUCCCUGAGUGUGGUCACAGCCAGCCAGGGUUCCUCCAAUCUCUGGGAUUUUGUGGCAAGUGGAGGUAGUAGUCUAUAGGGUUUUCCUACUUCCCCCUGGCUUCAAGCCUCUCUGAGUUACUGUAAUGUUUCCCCGGGUGUAGACACCCACCUCCCCCACCCAUCAUUAUUAACAGCUCAUGUUAACACAAGGCAUUUGAGAAAACUUUUUCUUUGUUUGUUUUAUUAGGGCCACACCUGAGGCAUAUGGAGGUUCCUAGGCUAGGGGGUUGAAUCAGAGCUGGGGGGGUGAAUCAGAGUUGUGGCUGCUGGCCUACAUCACAGCCACAACAAUGCCAGAUCGAAGUCACGUCUGAGACCUACACACCACAGCUCAUGGCAGUGCUGGAUCCUUAACCCACUGAGCGAGGCCAGGGAUCAAACCCGCAUCCUUGUGGAUACUUGUCAGGUUCUUAACCCGCUGAGCCAUAACAGGAAUUUCCGGUAUGUAGAAGACGACUGAAGUUUUCAAGUGAUGGAGGGGUUACCUAUAGACCCGAUAAGAAAAGAAAUCAAAUAUGCAUCCCUCAGCAUUUAUUUAUUUGGCCAUUUCCAACCAGGAGCCUCUCUUCCUGGUGCCCUGUCUCAUCCCAGCUGUGUUGCUAAGCCUUCCCUCUUCUCCCACAUCCCUCACUCCUCGUUUUCCCAGGUUCGUCCCCUUUUCUGCCUUUUCCUCUCGUCCUCUCUCCCUCUUUCCAACUUCAUUCCCAGGCAGUUUUGCAAAGACAAGUAUUCAGGGCUCAGCUCUGCGCUUCCUGGGAUGCUCACGAACGUGUUGGUUCUCAGGAGGACAGUGGCUCUGGGUCCCUCUUUUGAGCGGCACAGGGGAACCCGCGUGGCUUUGCCCUUUUCUUUCCUUUCUCCCAGCCACCCCCGUCCCUGCUGGGGCAGCGUGAAUCAGUGAUCCAUUCCCCGGUGUUACUUAUGAAUGAUUCUGCCACCUGCAAGAGGCUAAAACUACAAUAACCAGCCUUGGUUUCAGGAGCCAAAUGUCUCUUUAUUGUACCCAUUUUAAUGAUGAGAAAAUGGAGGCUCUGUGAGGCUCCGUGAGUAAAUAACUAUCCCAACUACUACAGCCAGUGCCCAGGAGGGAGGGGGUGGGAAUCCAGGUGUGGCGAUGGCAAAUGUAGGCCAUUUCCUCUACAGCAUCAUGAAUUCAAUAAAAAUUACAUUGUUAUCUCUACCUAGAUCAUCCGCACACAUUCGCAGAGUGUUUCCUCUGUCAGAGUGCCAGGCUCAGAAGAUUGGGGUGGGGGUUAUGAAGAUGAAAAAUAAAAGGUUCCUUCAUCAAAGUCAUUCUGCAUCUCGCAGGGAGAUAGGCCAUAUGGCCCAUGAAAUUAAAGUGAGAAUGCAGGAGGUUCAAGGAAAACAGGUUAAAAUACUCCCCCAAAUCCUUUACCUGCCUACUAAAGAAGCAGGAUAGCAGUGGUGAGGAACCUGGGUAUGAAAGCAAGUUACCUACCUGCUCUGUACGUCACUUUUUUUUUUUUUUUUUUUUCAGUUGCCCAAUGAAGAUAAUAAUAGUACCUUCCUUACAGGCUUUACUGAAAGUUAAAUGAAUGAAUACCUGUAAAACACUUAGAACAGGGUCUGGGUACACUACAAACCCUCCAUCAGUGUCAGCUCUUGUUAUUAAGUUAGGCAUGGUGUGCUUGGCCAGCAAUACUUUUAUUUGACGAAUAUCAUCAUUCCUUGCUGGCAGGGGAGGAGGCUGAAGCACAGAGCUGAAGCAGCCUCAUGCACAUCAUGGAGCCUUUUUUGGCAGAGGAAGGAAGAGAAUGCAGGUUUUUGGAGCCGAUCUACUGUUGUUCCAGUAUGUCUCAACAGAUUUGAGAGGACAGGAAAGACUGCUAGGCAAGCUUAUAGAAAAGGCGGGACUGAUUUGAGAUGAAGUGGAUUGUGUUUCGGAGAGCCGAAGUGAUAAAAAACAAUGAAUUGUCCACCCAAAUACAUCCCCCUUGUCUUCCGUGGUGCUGGUAUUGUAUCUGGACACAGACUGCCCGGUUAGGAACUACAUUUCCCAACUUGCCUUGUGGCCAGGGGCAGUGGCCAUAUUGGAAAGUUCUCACCAAUGGGAUCCAAGGAGAAGAAAGUGGCCCCCUCCCAGGCUGGCAUCUUAAGACUUGGGAUAUGCCUCUUCCAUGCUCCUUUCCCCUUUCUUGCUGGCUAUAGACUUGACCAGAGUAGUGGACACUUGUGCAGUGCUUCUCAAACUAUGUGUAUAGAUGUAUUUCUGUAGAUGUGUCCCCUCCACUUGCUGGGACAGUGCCACACCUCCACAUGACAUUCCUGAGCACCCCCUGUGUUCCAUAUACUGAAGGAUGAUACAAGGGCAUCCCAUGUUGGAUGCCUUAAAAUUUAUAGGCUCUUCAUGUGCCUUCGCAUGAUUUGGAUCCAAAGAAAUUCGAGGCGCAAAUGAAAUUAUGGGGGUUGAAGUGCUUUGUAAAAAGAUAGCAAGCAAAUUUUAGUUCAUAAAGCAGCUGGAGAUGAAAGGAGAAUGAGGGAAGGAUUUAGGGAGCCACAAGCAAAGCCCCACGAGGUCUGAGAGACCUGGUGGGGCAGUGAGCAAGACUUAAACUCGGAAAGGAGACUAAAUCACUUUUGAUGCUGAGUCACAAAUUCCAGCUGAGUGGCCUUGGGGGAGUCACGAAGCAUCCUCUGUGUGAGGGAAGAUUGUUAUGAUGACAUUGCAGGAUUGGGACGAAGGUCUGUGAGAAGGUACAUAAAGAAUGAGUGCACCUGUGUGCCAGCCAGGACCUGGCAGGAGACAGAUGGCACAUUCCAGCUGGGUGAUUUGAGAGAGUGUAAUAAAAAGCAGUUUACAAUGGUGUGCCGGGGAUGGGAGACCAACAGGGGACCGUGCACGCCAAAGCAGCAGUCCUGUGUGAGGUCAGGGGUAGCCGUUCUGGCCCCUAGGCUCAAAGGGGAGAGAAGGGAGCGGUUUUCAGAAUCUGGAAGCCAUGCCACAUCCAUGAAGGAGAGGGCCAGCCCACAGGAAUGGUGGCCGGGGCUCAGACGGAUGCUGCCAACCCGUGGAAUCUCUGCAGGGAUUGAGCUCUGAAUAUCAAUCCUGUUCUUCCUCUCUGCCCACCUUCCUAAGUCCUGCCUCUGCCUCCCACUGCCAGACUCCAGUGGAAUGCAGAGGAAAUGAGGGCCCUUGAUGCAGAGAAGGAUGAAGAAGAGGGCACUGAUGGAUCCAAUGACUAUAUCCUCCCAAUUCAGCAUGGAAAGCUUCCCAACUUAU